RNAcentral lists this ribosomal RNA (1212 nucleotides) under metagenome. RNAcentral's name for it is "SSU rRNA". It matches the Rfam family "Eukaryotic small subunit ribosomal RNA", at positions 558 to 1762 of the family's 1831-position model. The record is from RNAcentral.
AGUCUGGUGCCAGCAGCCGCGGUAAUUCCAGCUCCAAUAGUGUAUAUUAAAGUUGCUGCAGUUAAAAAGCUCGUAGUUGGAUUUUGAAUUAUAAAAAUUUAACAUUCAUCUUUUAGAUGUGAUUUAAUUUUUAUAUUCUUCCUUUUGAUACGCUCCAUCAAAUUAUAUUUUUUGGAUUUAAGUGUUUCAAAUUGUUUACUGUGAAAAAAUUAGAGUGUUCAAAGCAGGCGUAACCUAGCCUUUGAAUAUAUUAGCAUGGGAUAAUGAAAUAGGACUUUAAUCCUACUUUCGUUGGUUUCUAGGGCUAAAGUAAUGAUUAAUAGGGAUAGUUGGGGUCACUAGUAUUUAAUUGUCAGAGGUGAAAUUCUAAGAUUUAUUAAAGACUAACUACUGCGAAAGCAUUUGACAAGGAUGUUUUCAUUAAUCAAGAACGAAAGUUGGGGGAUCGAAGAUGAUCAGAUACCGUCGUAGUCUCAACCAUAAACUAUGCCGACCAAGGAUCCGAGGUUGUUAAUAUGGAUGACUCUUCGGGCACUUAUAGAGAAAUCAUAAGUAUUUGGGCUCCGGGGGGAGUAUGGUCGCAAGGCUGAAACUUAAAGGAAUUGACGGAAGGGCACCACAAGGAGUGGAACCUGCGGUUUAAUUUGACACAACACGGGAAAACUUACCAGGUCCAGACACAGUGAGGAUUGACAGAUUGAGAGUUCUUUCUUGAUUCUGUGAGUGGUGGUGCAUGGCCGUUUCUAGUUGGUGGAGUGAUUUGUCUGGUUAAUUCCGUUAACGAACGAGACCUUAACCUAUUAAAUAGUUAUUUAAACUUGAUUUUUAAAAUCAAAUGUUUAAAAAACUUCUUAGAGGGACUCUUCACUGAGAGAGUGAAUGGAAGUUUGAGGCAAAAACAGGUCUGUGAUGCCCUUAGAUGUUCUGGGCCACACGCGCGUUACACUGACAUAUUCAACGAGCAUUAUCCUUACCCGUCGGGGUUGGGUAAUCUUUUAAAUGUAUGUCGUGCUGGGGAUAGAUCAUUGUAAUUAUUGGUCUUGAACGAGGAAUUCCUAGUAAGUGCGAGUCAUCAACUCGCGCUGAUUACGUCCCUGCCCUUUGUACACACCGCCCGUCGCUCCUACCGAUUGAAUGGUCCGGCGAGAACUCAGGAUGGAUAUGGAUUUUGGACACCGUUAGGUGCUCCAACCAUAUCCAGAAUUUGUUCAA